Molecule: ribosomal RNA, 410 nt
Filed under: uncultured microorganism
Description: bacterial SSU rRNA
Rfam family: Bacterial small subunit ribosomal RNA
Source: RNAcentral
CAGCCGCCGCGGUAAUUCGUAGGUGGCAAGCGUUGUCCGGAAUCAUUGGGCGUAAAGCGCGCGCAGGCGGUCCUUUAAGUCUGAUGUGAAAUCUUGCGGCUCAACCGUAAGCGGUCAUUGGAAACUGGGGGACUUGAGUGCAGGAGAGGAAAGCGGAAUUCCAUGUGUAGCGGUGAAAUGCGUAGAGAUAUGGAGGAACACCAGUGGCGAAGGCGGCUUUCUGGCCUGUAACUGACGCUGAGGCGCGAAAGCGUGGGAAGCAAACAGGAUUAGAUACCCUGGUAGUCCACGCCGUAAACGAUGAGUGCUAAGUGUUGGAGGGUUUCCGCCCUUCAGUGCUGCAGCUAACGCAUUAAGCACUCCGCCUGGGGAGUACGGUCGCAAGACUGAAACUUAAAGGAAUUGGCGGG